RNAcentral lists this transfer RNA (72 nucleotides) under Ovis aries (sheep). It matches the Rfam family "tRNA". Rfam says of the family: Transfer RNA (tRNA) molecules are approximately 80 nucleotides in length. Their secondary structure includes four short double-helical elements and three loops (D, anti-codon, and T loops). Lineage: Eukaryota; Metazoa; Chordata; Mammalia; Artiodactyla; Bovidae. The record is from Rfam by way of RNAcentral.
UCCCUGGUGGCUCAGAGGUUAAAGCGUCUGCCUCCAAUGCAGGAGACUGGGGUUCGAUCCCUGGGUUGGGAA